This is a non-coding RNA of Paramormyrops kingsleyae, 6655 nucleotides long. The record is from RefSeq and is a predicted model, not a curated record. NCBI's taxonomy places the organism in Eukaryota, Metazoa, Chordata, Actinopteri, Osteoglossiformes, Mormyridae.
UUGAUGGACUUUGAGCUGUCAGCUGCAGCGAGAAGGCGCCGCUCUCGAAGCUAAUGCACCGCGAUCGCUUGUCUUUGGGGCUAAUUUCAUUCAAGUAAAUGUCGGUCCUUCCGCAAGACGAAUUGAUCAAGAUGUGGGAAAGUGAGCAGGAGAAUCUGAAGCAGCAGGUGCUGGAGCGCGACACAGAGGAGUGGCAGCGGGCGAGCGGCUUCAAGGGGCUGCAGAGAGUCGGCGGCGUGGAUCUGUCCUUCAUCAAGGGAGACGACGUCAAGGCCUGCGCCCAGCUGACGGUGCUGAGCUACCCGCAGCUGGAGGUGCUGUACGCCGACAGUCAGAUGGUAACCCUCAGCACUCCUUACAUCGCCGGCUUCCUGGCCUUCCGCGAGACGCCGCACCUGCUGGAAGCCUUACGGCGCCUGGAGAGGGACAAGCCGAGUCUGAUGCCCCAGGUCGUUUUUGUGGACGGAAAUGGAUUGUUUCAUUACAGAGAAUUCGGAUUGGCCUGCCACCUCGGGGUGCUGGCCGACCUGCCCUGCGUGGGCGUGGCCAAGAACCUGCUGCACGUCCAGGGGGUGGUGAGGAGUGGAGAGCACCUGUCCCAGAUCAGUACCCUUCAGAAGGCCGGGGACACCUUCCCACUGACGGCCGCCUCAGGGAGAGUGCUGGGCAAGGCCCUGCGCAGCUCAGAUAAGAGCACUAAACCCGUGUACGUCUCCGUGGGCCACCGAAUCAGCCUCGACACAGCCGUGCGGCUCACCAGCGCCUGCAGCCGGUACAGAGUGCCGGAGCCCAUCAGGCAGGCUGACAUGCGCUCCAGGGAGUACCUGCGCACACACUUCCCAUCUCAGGGCACCUGAAGGCAGACGAAGCCGUCUGGGUGAAAAGCCCCCCCUGCCCCCCAGCCUGAAGCCAGUGUGGUGAUAUCUGGAAGCAGUUUGUCCCACAGCAUGCAUGGAAGCUGAAGUUGGGGGGCUCCACCAACUAGGCUGCAACGCAAGGUGUCGGCCCAUUGGACCAGAGAGGAGCAGCAGGCGUUAGUGAGCACAAGCCCUCCUUAUGCAUUUUCUCAUGUACUAGGUGUUCUUCGGGUAUUUAUUUAAUUUUUUUGCAUUUUUCACACUUUCCUAUGGCCUCCUUGUAGUUCCGUAAAGAACGGUCCGUCUGUGGAGGCUUGAAAAAUAAAGAGCGCUGGCUUCAUUUUUCACUUGGCUUGAAGUCUGCAAGACAGCGGUGUGCUGAACACCUCAGUGAUAGCAGGAGCAAUUGCCAAGACAGGAGGAAGGUGAAUGGGGAGCAUCGGAGGGAGAGUGAUGAUUCAGAGUAAAAAAGUAAGAGGGCGGACAAAGAGGGAUGUAAAAGAUCACAAGGUCAGAAAGAAGGGAAAAAGGACCAGACCGCCAAUGAGAAGCAAGCAUUUGAUUAAAUGAUUGGAGGAAUGGGGUGUCUAUAUUUUUUGGUGGGGGGGGGGUCACCAAGGAUGCACUUACAUUGUCUUUGUUGUUGUCAUCUCAGACUGCAGUGCUUAAUGAAAAGACAUUAAGCCAUAAUGUACAAGGAGCUAAAUUUGUAACCGAAAGAAGAUGUGCAGCAUUAGAGCAGAAGACAUGUUGCAGGGCCUGAGGGAGUCUGUGGCCAAAAUGUUCUGCGCUGUGGAUGCUUGAUAUCCACCUUUAUAAAUGGGUCACAUAUUACAUGUUUCAUAAAAUGAUACCCCACGAUUGCUUUGUGUUGAAGUGUAAUGAUACCUAAUGUAUUGCCAUAGAGGUCUUUGAAGCUUGACAUAUGCACUGAUGACGCACACAUCUUCGGGGCGUGAAGGUGAAGGCGGAAUAAAAAGUAUCACGCGGGGGAAGGAGGCCUCCGGGAACACGGUGCGGUGUGCCGCGUUUUAUUUAUCCCUGCUUUGUGGAGGAAUGGAGACGGGGAUCCCUGAAGAGGACACUGUAUUCCCUGUGCAUUCAGCGAGUGAGGCUCAGUGUCAUCACACCCAGGCCACUGUUAGCGGCUGCUCUUUAGCCCGGCAGUGACCCCGUUCGACAUGCUAGCAGGGCCUCCCUCUGCCUGACAGCAGGAAACAUCAUAUCGCCCCCUCGGCGCAUCUCAGAAGCCUGACUGAUACGUUUCCAUCCUUGGGGACAGACACCGCAUUCCGGUACCCCGUUUAAUAUCACUUACUGUAGUGAGGCCGCUGCGGUGACAUUUCGACAUGUUUUACUACCUUGGAUUAGUUGCUGCACUAUAUCAUUGCUGCCGGCAAGACUUACGUUUUGCGCUGGUCUUGUUGCCUCUACUACAAACACUGACAUAGGCUUGGAAUUGAAAACUCAGCGAUGCCUUUUUUUAAUCACUUUCGUAGAAAUCUAUAGUCUCGUUCACUUCAAUUAAAACAUUACGACUUCGGAAGGACAGUUGAGUGAAACUCCGUCUUGGGAGUUUGUGCUUUGUUUUUCACGAACGCCCUUCUGAAUUCCUCGCUGCUUGAUUAGCCCGCUUUAGGGUCAGUGCUGUUUGACAAGCAGUUUCUCCUCCCCUUCGCUGUUCUUGUCAGCCCCCAACAUCAUCCGCUGGUAAUCGGCUAACUUGUUGUUGAGGUCUCUGUUGGAGCUGCCUCCGCCGCGGUUCUCUCUGCUUCCUUGAUCUCUGUUUUCCGUUCGCACUUUGCAGAUCCCCUCCUGCCAGUCUGGGUCAUCAGCCUCUCCAGCCUCCCCAAGUGGCAUUGCAUCAGUGCUCUGCGCUCAGGAAAUGUCCAAGGCUGUCUCAAGAUUUAAAUUAACAGGGCUGAGGACCUGCUAGUCUUUGUUUUCUGACCUGCUUUUGCUUGCUGUUAGGUAACUUCCUCUUAUUAGUGCCGUUUCGAACAUUCAAUAACAGAGAUCUGCUCUUGGUCACUGGUAUGUGUCUUGUAUAUAUACACAAAUGCAGUGCUGUGAAAGUAUUUUCCCAAAUAAAGGCAUAAUUAGGGACAGCACUUUAAAUAGUUUGAAAAACAGGCAGGCAUGAUUCGAGCCAGCCCUGCCCAAAAUAAAUCUAAGACCAAGUUUGGCUCUUAGCAUCAGAGUGAAGUUGUCAGUUUGCAAGUCCUAGAAUUGCAUCAUGCCACAAUCAAAAGAAAUUCCUGAAGGAAACUGUUGAUCGCUAUGUCUAGAAAGUCUCUGAAGACUCCAGGGCACCAGCAAACCGCAAUGUUCAAAUGAAAAAAAAAAUAGUGAGUUUUUGUAGAAGUGGCCAUACUGCCAACAUCCGUACAAGUAUGAAGUGUACACUCUCUGGAAGCUACAAAGAACCGAAGAACAAUAUCUAUGGAUAUACAGCACACCUCUCUCAGCCCUCAUGAGCUGAGUGGAUAUAUGGUAAGGUAGCCGACGUGAUCAGUAUCCACAUUCUGCGGACAGGUGAAUCAGAAGUGGAUCUUUUGGGCUGACAUAGGCCUUGUCACUUCUGCAAACCUAAUAAUACAUCCCAAGGUAUCACACGGUAGUCACCGUGUCUGCGCUGUUACAGUUCUGGCAUUGCUUUUUCGCAUGAGGAAUUGGGUAUGGAAUUGGGCUUAAAAUCUUUAAGCAUCAAAGCGGUGUGUUAAUUGGUGACUUGGAUUCUCUUACGUAAUGUUCAGUCUUGCCUGGGUACAGUCUGCGCUAGUGGGCUUUCUCUGUUAGUUUGGUUGCUUCUCGUGUUUAUCCAUGUGAAGCGUGAACGUCUUCCAAGCAGGUGGACGUGAUGAGCCUACGCCUUCUGCUCUGUGAGAGGAGGACGGCCAGCGGUACGGGACAGUAACGGCUGCUUAUUUCCCGUGAGCAGGGUUCCGGGAGUCAUCCGCCCCCGUGCUGCACUGACACAUCGGGAGAACGUACGCACUCCACCGGAGCUCUUUCCCGUAGGCCUGUCUCUCGUUCGACUGCCGUCCUCAUGUCUGGCUUUAGGAACGGGGGGGAAGAAACGCAUGCAGCGGAGGCACUGUGAUGCAUGGCGCCUCCCGUGGGGCUGUUGCCGCGUGUGCAUGUGGGGGACGGUCAUGUGACCCAUCCCGCCACUCACCGGGUGCCAUCUCCAGGCCUGGAUACCACUGCGCACUGACUGCUGGUUUGUUCUCAAACCUUCUCCGUUUGCUGAGAGUUAAAAUAGCAGCAGGCUUGCAGCAUUGGAUCGGUGGAAAGUGGAGCAGUAGAGUUUAUACUCUCUGGGGAACCUGUGGUCAGGCCUGCCUAGGCUUGGCCUGGGAUUACGCCCAUUAAUAUGAUGGUACAGUUAGCAUCCUCUGUCCUUUAAUUAAUAUGCCUAUGCCGUUAUGUGUCUGAAAGGCUUGUCCUGCACUAUAAAUAAGUGGGAUUUUUCUCCAGUCAGCACAACAAUUGAGUUGUUAGGUCAGGGUCAUAUCUGCAGUAUUAAAGCCCCGCACCUCCCUGGCACUGUGGGUGACCCUGACGUAGAGUCUCCAUUCCAUCCAUGUUCUAAUCAUGUUCUGCUCGCAGAUCCUGAGGCUGCCUGUCCUGCCCCCUGCCUCUCCUCUUCUGCAGCCUCCUGAGAGGCAUCUUACCCCCUGCCUGGGCAUGACUGCCUUCGUGGAGAUGUGUCCUCCUGGGCGGGGUCCGUGGAGUCCAGGGGCACGUGGAGCUGCAGCACAUGGUAUCUGGGAGAGCCCCAAGCCGCGCAGAGGACCGCCCCCCCCACCCCCGCCGUGCCUGCGUGUCUGUGCUCACGUGGGCGUGCACUCAGUGCUGAGACUCUUGGACUGAAAAGAUUUUCCGUUGUAUAUUUUUAGUUUUGCAAUAUGCAGCGGUCACGUUUUUUUAAAUUUAUUUAUUUAUUUUUUUUCUUUACCGUGUUGUGGUUAUAGCUCACUGAAAUUGACCUGUCGUGACGAUGUUGUGGCAAUGCUGAGCGGCUCUGUGGGUUGUCAGAGAGUGUGUUUACAGCCUGUCCUGAUCUAGCCCUGCCGCUCUGCUAUUUUGUAACCAUCACGAGCUCGGCGCACACAGAGCGGGAUCCUUCCUCCUCAAGUAGGCGGGGUCACCAUUGACCCUCCUGAGGUCAGCCAGUGCCCCAUGUGACCUGCGCCAGGCCUCACGAUUGGAUGGCAAACCCUGAACCCGGCAGAGCAGGACCUGUUUGUUCGCCAUUCCCCCAGUACUUUGCUUUUUACCUUUAAUUAACUCAUUAUGUCAGCCAUGGCAGAUUGCAGCCUUCUCUGGGAUCUCCAAAUGAGCCACAUUUUGGGGGGGGGGGGGAGUGCCGGAGGCGAGUGGAGGAGCCUCUCCACCCCACCAUGCUUAUGUAAGUGGUGCAUCCUUUCAAAAAUAGUUGAGUGAUCCCUCUUUCUUCCUCUGCUCUCAGCCUGCCUCUCCCCCCUCUCUCUUGGCAAUGCACCACAGGCUUACUGCUGUGUUAGAGAAUGAGGACAGUGGGGCUCUCCUCUCCAUAUACCAUCAGAAGGGGUGGCGGAGGGGGGGGGCUUCACGCGUAAAGUCACACCCCCUCCCACCCCACAGGGAAUUCUCUUCAGGUUUUCAGCUGAUGAAGCCGGCUUGGCUGUCGUUAACAUUCAGGCAGCGUUAUAUCUGCUUUGCACAUUUCGGGACGCCCUAAUCAGCCCCUCAUGGAAGACAUGCAGUAUUUAUAGAUGUUUUGACUGCGGUGUCGCAGUUCGGAUCCUCGCCGUGGCGCGGGUGCCGGGAUGCGCGCAAGCCGCUGCGAGUCGCGCUCACUGGCUGCUCAUUGGAAUUAAUGAUGUCUUUGAUAUGCGUGUGCUUUGAUGCAUGCGCUCCGUCAGAUCUGGAAAUAUUUCUCUUUUUGCAUUGUUCAGACUUCUAGCGGAAGUUCUGUUUUCAUUGUGGGCUUUUGCUCUUUGAAUGUUUUUCUUUUUAUUGUGCUACCUGGUUGGGACUUUGAUGUCCUCACUCUCUGUUAUCCUGAAGAAUUUUGCCAGCAGAGAAAACCGCCCAUUUCUGAUGAAACUGAGCAGAAGCUCCUGCUACCCUAAAGCAAAAAUUAUCUGUAAAACGCCCUUUUACAGCCAAAUGGUGGUGAAGACGAGACGUUAUCCGGAGCUGAGUUACAGGGUCAGUGUAUCAACCCCCCAGGAUAGGGAUGUGUAACAAGGUGGCUUCCACACCAGCUGCUUGCCAGAGUAUGAUGGUCUUCAGAAAUAUAUGAAGUGAAAGUGAAUCUACAGAGGACACAAGGACUGAUGUUAAUCCACCUCAUUUUGUCCAUCAUCUAACCCAGUGUUUCUCAGCUAACCUGGUUCUCAGCGACUGUCAGAGGGUGCAUGUUUUUGCUCCUUCCCAGACAGUCUACAUUUUUGCUCCCUCCCAGCUUUCAGAAUGUGAACUGUCUUGGGGUCCCCGAGGACCAGGCUGAGUAACGCUAAUCGAACCACUCAUCCUGCUCGGGGAGCCAAUCUAGGGAAUACCCUCGAUGGGAUGCCAGUGCUGUUCUCUUUAACCGUACAAUCUGUGUUCAUAGUUUUAUCCAUGUGGUGCCCAUUCAGAACCAGACAUGUCUGUUUUCUGGUGCCAUAUAGAGGCUGGUUGUAUGCGGCACACGGUCCCUGUUCCAGUGGAGCUGAGCGGGCCGGGUGAGUGGGGGUCUGUAGGCAGUGGUGUGUAGUUUUAGUUCAGUUGAGCAUUUAUUAAUCAGAUGGAUCUCUUACAGAAAC